RNAcentral lists this ribosomal RNA (563 nucleotides) under uncultured bacterium. Its description in RNAcentral is "bacterial SSU rRNA". It matches the Rfam family "Bacterial small subunit ribosomal RNA", at positions 953 to 1515 of the family's 1533-position model. The record is from RNAcentral.
GAAGCAACGCGAAGAACCUUACCAGGUCUUGACGUACCAUUGACCGUUCUAGAGAUAGGAUUUUCCCUUCGGGGACAAUGGAUACAGGUGGUGCAUGGUUGUCGUCAGCUCGUGUCGUGAGAUGUUGGGUUAAGUCCCGCAACGAGCGCAACCCCUGUCGUUAGUUGCCAGCAUUCAGUUGGGGACUCUAACGAGACUGCCAGUGACAAACUGGAGGAAGGUGGGGACGACGUCAAAUCAUCAUGCCCCUUAUGACCUGGGCUACACACGUGCUACAAUGGUUGGUACAAAGAGAAGCGAAGCGGUGACGUGGAGCAAACCUCAUAAAGCCAAUCUCAGUUCGGAUUGUAGGCUGCAACUCGCCUACAUGAAGUUGGAAUCGCUAGUAAUCGCGAAUCAGAAUGUCGCGGUGAAUACGUUCCCGGGCCUUGUACACACCGCCCGUCACACCACGAGAGUUUACAACACCCGAAGUCAGUGGCCUAACCGCAAGGAGGGAGCUGCCUAAGGUGGGGUAGAUGAUUGGGGUGAAGUCGUAACAAGGUAUCCCUACCGGAAGGUGC